UACGAAGGGGGCUAGCGUUGCUCGGAAUCACUGGGCGUAAAGGGUGCGUAGGCGGGUUUUUAAGUCAGGGGUGAAAUCCUGGAGCUCAACUCCAGAACUGCCUUUGAUACUGAAGAUCUUGAGUUCGGGAGAGGUGAGUGGAACUGCGAGUGUAGAGGUGAAAUUCGUAGAUAUUCGCAAGAACACCAGUGGCGAAGGCGGCUCACUGGCCCGAUACUGACGCUGAGGCACGAAAGCGUGGGAGCAAACAGG
This 252-nucleotide ribosomal RNA is filed under the name uncultured bacterium. Its description in RNAcentral is "partial 16S ribosomal RNA". It matches the Rfam family "Bacterial small subunit ribosomal RNA", at positions 524 to 776 of the family's 1533-position model. The record is from RNAcentral.